GCCUCUGUGGCGCAAUGGUAGCGCGUACGACUCCUAAUCGUGAAGUUCCAAGUUCGAGUCUUGGCUGAGGUG
RNAcentral lists this transfer RNA (72 nucleotides) under Penicillium chrysogenum. RNAcentral describes it as "tRNA-Arg (CCT) (tRNA-Arg-CCT-2-1)". It matches the Rfam family "tRNA". From Rfam's summary of the family: Transfer RNA (tRNA) molecules are approximately 80 nucleotides in length. Their secondary structure includes four short double-helical elements and three loops (D, anti-codon, and T loops). Further hydrogen bonds mediate the characteristic L-shaped molecular structure. tRNAs have two regions of fundamental functional importance: the anti-codon, which is responsible for specific mRNA codon recognition, and the 3' end, to which the tRNAs corresponding amino acid is attached (by aminoacyl-tRNA synthetases). tRNAs cope with the degeneracy of the genetic code in two manners: having more than one tRNA (with a specific anti-codon) for a particular amino acid; and 'wobble' base-pairing, i.e. permitting non-standard base-pairing at the 3rd anti-codon position. Lineage: Eukaryota; Fungi; Ascomycota; Eurotiomycetes; Eurotiales; Aspergillaceae. RNAcentral also lists the same sequence under 4 other names. The record is from RNAcentral.